AUAGCUCAGCUGGGAGAGCGCAACACUGGCAGUGUUGAGGUCAGCGGUUCGAUCCCGCUU
Molecule: transfer RNA, 60 nt
Filed under: Gammaproteobacteria bacterium
Lineage: Bacteria; Pseudomonadati; Pseudomonadota; Gammaproteobacteria
Description: tRNA-Ala
Rfam family: tRNA
About the family: Transfer RNA (tRNA) molecules are approximately 80 nucleotides in length. Their secondary structure includes four short double-helical elements and three loops (D, anti-codon, and T loops). Further hydrogen bonds mediate the characteristic L-shaped molecular structure. tRNAs have two regions of fundamental functional importance: the anti-codon, which is responsible for specific mRNA codon recognition, and the 3' end, to which the tRNAs corresponding amino acid is attached (by aminoacyl-tRNA synthetases). tRNAs cope with the degeneracy of the genetic code in two manners: having more than one tRNA (with a specific anti-codon) for a particular amino acid; and 'wobble' base-pairing, i.e. permitting non-standard base-pairing at the 3rd anti-codon position.
Source: RNAcentral